CCUACGGGUGGCAGCAGUGGGGAAUAUUGCACAAUGGGGGAAACCCUGAUGCAGCGACGCCGCGUGAGUGAAGAAGUAAUUCGUUAUGUAAAGCCCUAUCAGCAGGGAAGAAAAUGACGGUACCUGAGGAAGAAGCACCGGCUAACUACGUGCCAGCAGCCGCGGUAAUACGGAGGGGGCAAGCGUUAUCCGGAUUUACUGGGCGUAAAGGGUGCGUAGGCGGGAGUACAAGUCUGGUGUGAAAGGCGGGGGCUCAACCCCCGGACUGCUCUGGAAACUGUACGGCUGGAGUGCAGGAGAGGUAGGUGGAAUUCCUGGUGUAGCGGUAAAAUGCGUAGAUAUUAGGAGGAACACCAGUGGCGAAGGCGGCUUACUGGACUGUAACUGACGUUGAGGCACGAAAGCGUGGGGAGCAAACAGGAUUAGAUACCCGGGUAGUC
This 440-nucleotide ribosomal RNA is filed under the name uncultured bacterium. RNAcentral describes it as "partial 16S ribosomal RNA". It matches the Rfam family "Bacterial small subunit ribosomal RNA", at positions 338 to 795 of the family's 1533-position model. The record is from RNAcentral.